RNAcentral lists this ribosomal RNA (494 nucleotides) under uncultured bacterium. Its description in RNAcentral is "partial 16S ribosomal RNA". It matches the Rfam family "Bacterial small subunit ribosomal RNA", at positions 28 to 507 of the family's 1533-position model. The record is from RNAcentral.
GACGAACGCUGGCGGCGUGCUUAACACAUGCAAGUCGAACGGUGAAGCGCCUUCCUUGUUGGUGGGUGGGGAGGAGUGGCGGAGGGGUGAGCAAGACGAGAGUAACCUGCCCCCUUCGUCUGGAUAACCGCACGAAAGUGUGGCUAAUACGGGAUAUCCUGGGUCUGUCGCAUGAUGGGUCUGGGAAAGAUAUUGUUUCGGUGGGGGAUGGGCUCGCGGCCUAUCAGCUUGUUGGUGGGGUGAUGGCCUACCAAGGCGGGGACGGUUCGCCGGCCUGGGGGGGUGGCCGGCCACACUGGGACUGAGACACGGCCCAGACUCCUACGGGAGGCAGCAGUGGGGAAUAGUGCACAGUGGGCGCAAGUCUGAUGCAGCGACGCCGCGUGAGGGAUGGAGGCCUUCGGGUUGUGAACCUCUUUCGCUAGUGAAGCAGGCCUGCCUGGUUUGUGGGUGGGUUGACGGUAGCUGGUUAAGAAGCGCCGGCUAACUACGUG